GGCUGGUCUGAAGGUAGUGAGUUAUCACACUUAAUUGGUCACAGUUACAGACAGAAUUCCUUGUUCUACUCUUUGCCCCUUGUCAUGACUGUACUCGACUAGUCUUUA
RNAcentral lists this Y RNA (108 nucleotides) under Propithecus coquereli (Coquerel's sifaka). Its description in RNAcentral is "Y RNA (ENSPCOG00000010507.1)". It matches the Rfam family "Y RNA". Rfam says of the family: Y RNAs are components of the Ro ribonucleoprotein particle (Ro RNP), in association with Ro60 and La proteins. The record is from Rfam by way of RNAcentral. Lineage: Eukaryota; Metazoa; Chordata; Mammalia; Primates; Indriidae.